RNAcentral lists this ribosomal RNA (403 nucleotides) under uncultured bacterium. RNAcentral's name for it is "partial 16S ribosomal RNA". It matches the Rfam family "Bacterial small subunit ribosomal RNA", at positions 28 to 526 of the family's 1533-position model. The record is from RNAcentral.
GACGAACGCUGGCGGCGUGCCUAAUACAUGCAAGUCGAACGCAGUGGGGACGGGUGAGUAACACGUGGGUAACCUCCCAUCAGAGGGGAUAACACUUGGAAACAGGUGCUAAACCGAUAUUGAUUGCUUGUCCGGCGUUGCAUUAGCUAGUUGGUGAGGUAACGGCUCACCAAGGCCACGAUGCAUAGCCCACCUGAGAUGGUGAUCGGCCACACUUGGACUGAGACACGGCCCAUACUCCUACGGGAGGCCGCAGUAGGGAAUCUUCGGCAAUGGACGAAAGUCUGACCGAGCAACGCCGCGUGAGUGAAGAAGGUUUUCGGAUCGUAAAACUCUGUUGUUAGAGAAGCGGGAGCUAAAAAGAAAGCCACGGCUAACUACGUGCCAGCAGCCGCGGGAAUAC